GAUCAUGGCUCAGGAUGAACGCUAGCGACAGGCUUAACACAUGCAAGUCAGGGGCAGCGGGGAGUAGCAAUACUUCGCCGGCGACCGGCGCACGGGUGAGUAACACGUGUGCAACCAACCCCGUACCGGGAGAUAACCCGCGGAAACGUGGACUAACAUCCCAUAAUACUGGAGGAUCGCAUGAUCUUUCAUUUAAAAAUUCCGGUGGUACGGGACGGGGCACGCGCGACAUUAGGUAGUUGGCGGGGUAACGGCCC
Molecule: ribosomal RNA, 257 nt
Filed under: uncultured bacterium
Lineage: Bacteria
Description: partial 16S ribosomal RNA
Rfam family: Bacterial small subunit ribosomal RNA
Source: RNAcentral